Molecule: ribosomal RNA, 464 nt
Filed under: uncultured bacterium
Lineage: Bacteria
Description: bacterial SSU rRNA
Rfam family: Bacterial small subunit ribosomal RNA
Source: RNAcentral
GACGAACGCUAGCGGCGUGCCUAAGCUAUGCAAGUCGAGCGGGGUUUCAGAGUCGAGUUUCCUUCGGGAGACAAAGCACUGAAACCUAGCGGCGAACGGGUGAGUAACACGUGAGCAACCUACCCUGUUGUCCGGGAUAACAGACCGAAAGGCCUGCUAAUACCGGAUACGAAGCUCCUUCGCAUGUUGGAGCUUGGAAAGGGGCAACCCGCAAUAGGAGGGGCUUACGGCCUAUCAGCUAGUUGGUGAGGUAACGGCCCACCAAGGCGACGACGGGUAGCCGACCUGAGAGGGUGACCGGCCACACUGGGACUGAGACACGGCCCAGACUCCUACGGGAGGCAGCAAGCGGGAAUCUUGCACAAUGGGCGCAAGCCUGAUGCAGCGACGCCGCGUGAGGGAUGAAGGCCUUCGGGUCGUAAACCUCUGUUGAUGGGGACGAAGAUCUGACGGUACCCAUCGAG